Molecule: ribosomal RNA, 497 nt
Filed under: uncultured bacterium
Lineage: Bacteria
Description: bacterial SSU rRNA
Rfam family: Bacterial small subunit ribosomal RNA
Source: RNAcentral
GGCUCAGGAUGAACGCUAGCUACAGGCUUAACACAUGCAAGUCGAGGGGCAGCAUGACAAUAGCUUGCUAUUGUCGAUGGCGACCGGCGCACGGGUGAGUAACGCGUAUCCAACCUUCCCGUUGCUAGGGGAUAACCUUGCGAAAGUAAGACUAAUACCCGAUGAUAUCCCUAGAAGACAUCUGAAAGGGAUUAAAGAUUUAUCGGUGAUGGAUGGGGAUGCGUCCGAUUAGCUUGACGGCGGGGUAACGGCCCACCGAGACGACGAUCAGUAGGGGUUCUGAGAGGAAAGUCCCCCACAUUGGAACUGAGACACGGUCCAAACUCCUACGGGAGGCAGCAGUGAGGAAUAUUGGUCAAUGGGCGAGAGCCUGAACCAGCCAAGUAGCGUGCAGGAUGACGGCCCUAUGGGUUGUAAACUGCUUUUAUAAGGGAAUAAAGUGAGCCUCGUGAGGCUUUUUGCAUGUACCUUAUGAAUAAGGACCGGCUAAUUCCGUG